Molecule: ribosomal RNA, 2904 nt
Filed under: Escherichia coli
Lineage: Bacteria; Pseudomonadati; Pseudomonadota; Gammaproteobacteria; Enterobacterales; Enterobacteriaceae
Description: 23S ribosomal RNA
Rfam family: Bacterial large subunit ribosomal RNA
Source: RNAcentral
GGUUAAGCGACUAAGCGUACACGGUGGAUGCCCUGGCAGUCAGAGGCGAUGAAGGACGUGCUAAUCUGCGAUAAGCGUCGGUAAGGUGAUAUGAACCGUUAUAACCGGCGAUUUCCGAAUGGGGAAACCCAGUGUGUUUCGACACACUAUCAUUAACUGAAUCCAUAGGUUAAUGAGGCGAACCGGGGGAACUGAAACAUCUAAGUACCCCGAGGAAAAGAAAUCAACCGAGAUUCCCCCAGUAGCGGCGAGCGAACGGGGAGCAGCCCAGAGCCUGAAUCAGUGUGUGUGUUAGUGGAAGCGUCUGGAAAGGCGCGCGAUACAGGGUGACAGCCCCGUACACAAAAAUGCACAUACUGUGAGCUCGAUGAGUAGGGCGGGACACGUGGUAUCCUGUCUGAAUAUGGGGGGACCAUCCUCCAAGGCUAAAUACUCCUGACUGACCGAUAGUGAACCAGUACCGUGAGGGAAAGGCGAAAAGAACCCCGGCGAGGGGAGUGAAAAAGAACCUGAAACCGUGUACGUACAAGCAGUGGGAGCACGCUUAGGCGUGUGACUGCGUACCUUUUGUAUAAUGGGUCAGCGACUUAUAUUCUGUAGCAAGGUUAACCGAAUAGGGGAGCCGAAGGGAAACCGAGUCUUAACUGGGCGUUAAGUUGCAGGGUAUAGACCCGAAACCCGGUGAUCUAGCCAUGGGCAGGUUGAAGGUUGGGUAACACUAACUGGAGGACCGAACCGACUAAUGUUGAAAAAUUAGCGGAUGACUUGUGGCUGGGGGUGAAAGGCCAAUCAAACCGGGAGAUAGCUGGUUCUCCCCGAAAGCUAUUUAGGUAGCGCCUCGUGAAUUCAUCUCCGGGGGUAGAGCACUGUUUCGGCAAGGGGGUCAUCCCGACUUACCAACCCGAUGCAAACUGCGAAUACCGGAGAAUGUUAUCACGGGAGACACACGGCGGGUGCUAACGUCCGUCGUGAAGAGGGAAACAACCCAGACCGCCAGCUAAGGUCCCAAAGUCAUGGUUAAGUGGGAAACGAUGUGGGAAGGCCCAGACAGCCAGGAUGUUGGCUUAGAAGCAGCCAUCAUUUAAAGAAAGCGUAAUAGCUCACUGGUCGAGUCGGCCUGCGCGGAAGAUGUAACGGGGCUAAACCAUGCACCGAAGCUGCGGCAGCGACGCUGAUGCGUUGUUGGGUAGGGGAGCGUUCUGUAAGCCUGUGAAGGUGUGCUGUGAGGCAUGCUGGAGGUAUCAGAAGUGCGAAUGCUGACAUAAGUAACGAUAAAGCGGGUGAAAAGCCCGCUCGCCGGAAGACCAAGGGUUCCUGUCCAACGUUAAUCGGGGCAGGGUGAGUCGACCCCUAAGGCGAGGCCGAAAGGCGUAGUCGAUGGGAAACAGGUUAAUAUUCCUGUACUUGGUGUUACUGCGAAGGGGGGACGGAGAAGGCUAUGUUGGCCGGGCGACGGUUGUCCCGGUUUAAGCGUGUAGGCUGGUUUUCCAGGCAAAUCCGGAAAAUCAAGGCUGAGGCGUGAUGACGAGGCACUACGGUGCUGAAGCAACAAAUGCCCUGCUUCCAGGAAAAGCCUCUAAGCAUCAGGUAACAUCAAAUCGUACCCCAAACCGACACAGGUGGUCAGGUAGAGAAUACCAAGGCGCUUGAGAGAACUCGGGUGAAGGAACUAGGCAAAAUGGUGCCGUAACUUCGGGAGAAGGCACGCUGAUAUGUAGGUGAAGUCCCUCGCGGAUGGAGCUGAAAUCAGUCGAAGAUACCAGCUGGCUGCAACUGUUUAUUAAAAACACAGCACUGUGCAAACACGAAAGUGGACGUAUACGGUGUGACGCCUGCCCGGUGCCGGAAGGUUAAUUGAUGGGGUCAGCGCAAGCGAAGCUCUUGAUCGAAGCCCCGGUAAACGGCGGCCGUAACUAUAACGGUCCUAAGGUAGCGAAAUUCCUUGUCGGGUAAGUUCCGACCUGCACGAAUGGCGUAAUGAUGGCCAGGCUGUCUCCACCCGAGACUCAGUGAAAUUGAACUCGCUGUGAAGAUGCAGUGUACCCGCGGCAAGACGGAAAGACCCCGUGAACCUUUACUAUAGCUUGACACUGAACAUUGAGCCUUGAUGUGUAGGAUAGGUGGGAGGCUUAGAAGUGUGGACGCCAGUCUGCAUGGAGCCGACCUUGAAAUACCACCCUUUAAUGUUUGAUGUUCUAACGUUGACCCGUAAUCCGGGUUGCGGACAGUGUCUGGUGGGUAGUUUGACUGGGGCGGUCUCCUCCUAAAGAGUAACGGAGGAGCACGAAGGUUGGCUAAUCCUGGUCGGACAUCAGGAGGUUAGUGCAAUGGCAUAAGCCAGCUUGACUGCGAGCGUGACGGCGCGAGCAGGUGCGAAAGCAGGUCAUAGUGAUCCGGUGGUUCUGAAUGGAAGGGCCAUCGCUCAACGGAUAAAAGGUACUCCGGGGAUAACAGGCUGAUACCGCCCAAGAGUUCAUAUCGACGGCGGUGUUUGGCACCUCGAUGUCGGCUCAUCACAUCCUGGGGCUGAAGUAGGUCCCAAGGGUAUGGCUGUUCGCCAUUUAAAGUGGUACGCGAGCUGGGUUUAGAACGUCGUGAGACAGUUCGGUCCCUAUCUGCCGUGGGCGCUGGAGAACUGAGGGGGGCUGCUCCUAGUACGAGAGGACCGGAGUGGACGCAUCACUGGUGUUCGGGUUGUCAUGCCAAUGGCACUGCCCGGUAGCUAAAUGCGGAAGAGAUAAGUGCUGAAAGCAUCUAAGCACGAAACUUGCCCCGAGAUGAGUUCUCCCUGACUCCUUGAGAGUCCUGAAGGAACGUUGAAGACGACGACGUUGAUAGGCCGGGUGUGUAAGCGCAGCGAUGCGUUGAGCUAACCGGUACUAAUGAACCGUGAGGCUUAACCUU